AACGAACGCUGGCGGCAUGCCUAACACAUGCAAGUCGAACGAGAACUUCGGGUCUAGUGGCGCACGGGUGCGUAACGCGUGGGAACCUGCCCUUAGGUUCGGAAUAACUCCCCGAAAGGGGUGCUAAUACCGGAUAAUGUCUUCGGACCAAUGAUUUAUCGCGUUUGGAUGGGCGCGCGUUGGAUUAGCUAGUUGGUAGGGUAAAAGCCUACCAAGGCGGCGAUCCAUAGCUGGUCUGAGAGGAUGAUCAGCCACACUGGGGCUAAGGCACGGCCCAGACUGCUACGGAACGGAGGGGAAUAGUAUAUAAGGCGAGCGAGCAUAGUCUGAUCCAGCAAUGCCGCGGGUGUCAUGAAUGCCUUAGUGUUGUAAAUCUCGUUUACCCGGGAUGUUAGUGACAGUACCGGGAGAAGAAGCACCGGCUAACUCCGUG
RNAcentral lists this ribosomal RNA (433 nucleotides) under uncultured bacterium. RNAcentral's name for it is "partial 16S ribosomal RNA". It matches the Rfam family "Bacterial small subunit ribosomal RNA", at positions 29 to 507 of the family's 1533-position model. The record is from RNAcentral.